This is a long non-coding RNA of Capsicum annuum, 3219 nucleotides long. RefSeq lists it as uncharacterized. The transcript has 2 exons. The record is from RefSeq and is a predicted model, not a curated record. NCBI's taxonomy places the organism in Eukaryota, Viridiplantae, Streptophyta, Magnoliopsida, Solanales, Solanaceae.
GUUGUCAGUUUUUUUUUUUAAAAUUCAAAUUUUAACAAUUAUAUAGAUUUUGAAACUAAUGCAACUUCAUACAGAUUCCCUUAGUAUAUGUUUUUUUGGGAAUAACUGCAUAGUAAUUUUGUCUGAAGCAGAAAAGAAAUGACCUUUCUAAUAACCUCUAAUCCUUAAUCACAAUUGAAGGUUUCCUCAUACAUUCCAUUAAACUCUUCACAAUUAAAGAUCUGCAUGUCCUGGGCUUUAUCGGGAACUAAGCAGAAUUUUAUGAUGAUUCGUCCUAAAUUUCUCAUGGGUUUCAUCUCUUCCUGCUUCAUGCUCCUAUUUGGAAACCUCAAAAUUGAUGCUUAAAUGUUUUCAUUUAUAAGUUUACUUUGCAAUUUCUUUUUUUCAAUUUAAAUGGUGAAAAAUCUAGAAAAAUGUGUGGAACUACUGAAUUUUCACGUAUGUGUCAAUUAGAUGUUGUCACUCACUUUAUUUAUAGGAUAGGAUACUUUUCAUCUUUAGCCAUCUUUAACUUGGUAUAGGAAGAUUUUUAUGUGUAUUCGUUUUUUUUAAUUCUUAUCUUAGCCAGCUUUUCUCUAAGAAAAAAAAUCUUAUGUCAACAAGUUAGUUGAUUUUCUUACAUCUCCUAAAUAACACAUGCUACACACUACUGCUAUAAAUAUAUUGUUCUGUGUACGGCAUCUACAAGUCAAUGAUAUAUGUGAAUUGUCUAGAAAGCACAAGUCACGUGGUUAAAUGUUGCAGAUAUAGAAGACAAUGAGAGAUCUGACAUAAGUAAGAUUGAAAGUUGAAUUUAUGUUAGUUUUUUUAAGAUUGACAAAACAAUAAUCCGGAAAAACUUUUUAUUACGUGAAAUGAAUUCUGCAGAUCUAUUUCCCUUAACUUUACCACUGUUGUUUGUUUAUCACUAACUUUAUUUCUUGAUAGUUGGAUGUGAUUGGUAAAGCUUGGCUUCUUGAUGACCUUUGUGAUCUCUCUUGCAAUGUUGCUGAUCCUGGUGGCAAUACUUUUAUUCUUGUAGGUCCAUAUGCUGAUUAAUUGAGAUAUUAAUUGAAUUUUUGAAAACUAUUAUUCAAGAUUGCACUUUUUUUCCAUCGACAAACUUUAUUGUCAAAAAACUGAUGUAUAAGAAGAAAUCAAUUACCGUCGAGUACCACCAUCCAUUUCCAGUUCUAUUUCAACAGACUUCACCCACAACCAUUGAGAACCACCAGAUCUUCAUCCAUAAGCCUCUCAAGCUUUCUCGAAUCAAAUCGACAAACACCCAUUUGAUAUCGAAUAAAUAAUUAAAUAUCGGAAAUGUGUUUUGGUUGAAGAGUUAAGAUUCUAUUUGAGUUCUUUAGUCCAUUUUCAAGGUACCAGUCAGUGCGUUGAGUCCCUUGGCCAUCAAAAAUUACAAAUUUUGAUUAGAAUGUCCAUUUCUUUCUCAUCUAUUGUUAUUGUAAUUUCUUUAAAUGUUUUCACUGUAGUGUUCUUUUGUUGUUGAUUUGAGUAUGUAUAUUUUGUCGUCUUAUAUUUAAAGCUGAAAAUUGGUGAUUAUGUUGGGUUUCAAUAUGAAUUAUCUAUAUAUGAUAAGAUCAAUUCUAAAUUUUAGUGAUGAAAGAGAUAUGAAAAGUCACGUAGAUUUAUCAUGGGAUGUUACAGAUCUAUCAUCUUCAAGAUGCCUUUAGUCGAUUUGGUAAAAUUGUCCAUUUCAGGUUUGUACUUUUUCACAAUCCAGUUUUCAUUGCAAUUUAUGCAAGUUUCUUUAAUUCUAUGUACCCAAUAUGUAUGUGUGUAUCAAUGUGUAUUAAAUGCAACCUUCAAUCCCCCCUCUCUCUCUCUGUAUAUCAAUGUGAGUUACUUUUCUUUCACUUUCCUCUGUAUUAAAGGAGAAUUCAGUGGAAGACUUAUCUAAGACACCCUUGGCCUAAGUAAGAGCGCUGGUAUUUUUUUUCUAUAUUUCAUCCUUGAAUUUCUGUUUAUUUCACAUUCUCAAAAUUGGGAGCUCGCAUCUGUCUUUUGAUUGGUUUGAUUUAUUGUUGUUUUGAAAUUCGAUCAUACAUCACAUGAUUAACAGAUUAAGUGGAAAUUCAAACUUAAUUUUUUAACCAUAUAUAAUUUGGCAGGAAUAGUUAAAACCUUCGAUGACACAGUAGGUUGUAUAUUUAAGUCAAAAUAUCGGGAUACAACAAUUAGGAAAGUCACUACACUAGGUAUAUGUGAAGGCAAUACUACUAGAAACCCUAUUUUUGAGAUAGCAUACAUGUGUUCUCUAUCAAAAGCCUAAAGAUCCAAGGAAAGAUACCAAUUUAAGAAAUUUUCUAUUGCACAUGAAUCAGGUAUUGGAAAAUAACAGGAAGUUCAAAGGCCAUAAGCUAGGUGUGAUGGUUAUGGUGUUCGAUGCUAUGAUCCCAGAUUUGUGGGCUGUGACAACAUGAUGUUCUACUUCCAUGGAGCAAGGGAACCUGACAUUUCUAUUCUCUAUGAUGACAACCACCAAAUUAAUGCAUAUCUAAUUGGUACACAACCACAGGGAAAGAAGUGUGACUUUUCAUGGGUUCAAACAUUUUCAGUCAUGUUUGACACCCAUAUAUUAGUUGUAGGAGCAAAGAAAGUGUCAAACUUGGAUGAAAAUUUUGAUGCUCUUACUGUACGGUGGAAUGGUGAGACAAGACAGUUGAUGUUCCGACAGAUGGAGAUGCAGAAUAGAGUGUUAACACUGCUGAGAGAUCAAUGGUGGUCAAAGGGAUAGAUGAUCUUAACAGCAUGAAGGUCACAGUUUCCAGACUACAGCAUGUAAAUGUAGUCCCCAUUAGUGAGAGAAAACAAAGGUUUACAACUAUCAGUUACCAGGAUAUGUUGCUUUUGCACAUAUAGAAACACAAUUUAAGUUUUUCAAUCUAUCUAAAGAUGUCAAAGGAACUCUAGGCAAGACUUACCAGUUGGGUUAUGUUAGUCCAAUCAUGAGAGGGGUGACGAUACCAUUUAUGGGUAGGAAAGACAAAUAUAAGAAACCAUCACUCCAUUAAGCUCCAAGCAAAUUACAGGUUCAACAGACCCCCCAAGUGUUACUUCAGCUUGAUGAUUCAAAGAUAUUAACCAAUAAGAGGUAUUUUGGUACUGCAUAAGAAUAGUAGCGUAUUGUUUGUUGACGGUCUCUGUAUUGUUUAUUAAUUAAAAUAUUGCUAUGAAUAUAAUUAUAUUUGGAUAUGUGAAUAAAGAGGGAGGAAAUCAUGC